UCCGGCAGCUCAGUCACGAUGAAGGUAACUCAUCUGCUUGUAGACAUGAGUAAAAAUUAAACAAAAUAAAACUCAAUUAUGAAUUAGAAAAAAAAUCCUGCCACCAUGUAACGGCCCGGAAACAAGUUGGUAGCAGUGCGCAUGCGUUACGGUCAACCUGCUGUGUCGCUUCCGCUUAACACCGCGCCAUUCCGGCAAUAGUGCGCAUGUGUAACAACCAGACUAGCAAGCCGUUUUACCCCUUCCCCCUUCUUUUCCUUUCGAACUUUCCACGACGGCGUUCGGUCUCUGUGACUAAGAGGUGUCAUGUCUGACCUUGGCCACCUGAUGGCGCCACAGCACCAGAAGCAGGAGUCCAUGCUUGAAUUUUCGUUGAUAAUAAAGCUGUUCUUUAUUUAAAAAUAGUGAAAAAUGUCUGUUUUCAU
This is a long non-coding RNA of Hippocampus comes (tiger tail seahorse), 425 nucleotides long. RefSeq lists it as uncharacterized. Lineage: Eukaryota; Metazoa; Chordata; Actinopteri; Syngnathiformes; Syngnathidae. The record is from RefSeq and is a predicted model, not a curated record. The transcript is spliced from 2 exons.